This 484-nucleotide ribosomal RNA is filed under the name uncultured bacterium. RNAcentral describes it as "bacterial SSU rRNA". It matches the Rfam family "Bacterial small subunit ribosomal RNA", at positions 28 to 500 of the family's 1533-position model. The record is from RNAcentral.
GAUGAACGCUAGCUACAGGCUUAACACAUGCAAGUCGAGGGAAACGAUAUUGGAAGCUUGCUUCUGAUAGGCGUCGACCGGCGCACGGGUGAGUAACGCGUAUCCAACCUGCCCAUCACUUGGGGAUAACCUUGCGAAAGUAAGACUAAUACCCAAUGACGUCUCUAGAAGACAUCUGAAAGAGAUUAAAGAUUUAUCGGUGAUGGAUGGGGAUGCGUCUGAUUAGCUUGUUGGCGGGGUAACGGCCCACCAAGGCGACGAUCAGUAGGGGUUCUGAGAGGAAGGUCCCCCACAUUGGAACUGAGACACGGUCCAAACUCCUACGGGAGGCAGCAGUGAGGAAUAUUGGUCAAUGGACGAGAGUCUGAACCAGCCAAGUAGCGUGCAGGAUGACGGCCCUAUGGGUUGUAAACUGCUUUUAUAAGGGAAUAAAGUGAGUCUCGUGAGACUUUUUGCAUGUACCUUAUGAAUAAGGACCGGCUAA